UUUAGAUCCUGGCUCAGGAUGAACGCUAGCGGGAGGCCUAACACAUGCAAGCCGAGCGGUAUAGAGUAGCUUGCUACUCUAGAGAGCGGCGCACGGGUGCGUAACACGUGUGCAACCUACCUUUAUCUGGGGAAUAGCCUUUCGAAAGGAAGAUUAAUACCCCAUAAUAUAUUGAAUGGCAUCAUUUGAUAUUGAAAACUCCGGUGGAUAGAGAUGGGCACGCGCAAGAUUAGAUAGUUGGUGAGGUAACGGCUCACCAAGUCAAUGAUCUUUAGGGGUCCUGAGAGGGAGAUCCCCCACACUGGUACUGAGACACGGACCAGACUCCUACGGGAGGCAGCAGUGAGGAAUAUUGGACAAUGGGUGAAAGCCUGAUCCAGCCAUCCCGCGUGAAGGAUGACGGUCCUAUGGAUUGUAAACUUCUUUUGUAUAGGAAUAAACCUUUCUACGUGUAGAAAGCUGAAGGUACUAUACGAAUAAGCACCGGCUAACUCCGUG
RNAcentral lists this ribosomal RNA (498 nucleotides) under uncultured Chryseobacterium sp. Its description in RNAcentral is "bacterial SSU rRNA". It matches the Rfam family "Bacterial small subunit ribosomal RNA", at positions 11 to 507 of the family's 1533-position model. Lineage: Bacteria; Pseudomonadati; Bacteroidota; Flavobacteriia; Flavobacteriales; Weeksellaceae. The record is from RNAcentral.